GCAUCCAAAGACCACAAUAGUCAUCGGUGUACUGCCACAGGAGGAGUUAUUUUACAGAGCAACCUGUUUUCUUCCUCGCAGGUUUAACGUAGGUUAUUUAAUUGUGUUACUAUCUUUUCUAAAUUUAAAAUCUAGAACUCCGCAUGUGUUAGUAAUAGUGUGGACCUUAUUAGGAAUCGUGUUAAUUUAAAUUUUUCAGAUUAAUAAAUGAAGAUUUGUAUGGUAUUUAAACAGUUUGUGAAAUGAGGUAACAGGGUUGAGCCGGGCUCCCCUAAUUUUAGUCUCUGAUGAUUUCUGGGCUAAGAUGGCCCGAAAUAAAAUUAUAACAGUUUAAUUUAAA
Long non-coding RNA from Hevea brasiliensis (rubber tree), 340 nucleotides. RefSeq lists it as uncharacterized. Lineage: Eukaryota; Viridiplantae; Streptophyta; Magnoliopsida; Malpighiales; Euphorbiaceae. The record is from RefSeq and is a predicted model, not a curated record. The transcript has 2 exons.